AUAGAUGCAGCGAAGCAGGAGGAAGACAAAAAAAGGAUGCCACAACAUUUGGAGCGAGUGUGUGUGUGUGUGUGUGUGUGUGUGUGUGUGUGUGUGUGUGUGUGUGUGUGUGUUUGCGUGUGUGUGUGUAUGUGGUAAUAUCUUGCUCAUUAUUCCUUCUCCCCUGGGGGCUGCAUAGAAGAUCUGGCUCUUCUCCUGUCCAUUAGUUAUGUUCUUUCUCAUGACUGAGAGUUUCACUAAUGAGCAGCUCUUAAUUACACCUUACAUCAGAAGAGUUCUCUCUCCCCUCCUCUCCAUCUCUGCCGCAGACACAGACCCAGGCUGGCUUUACCUCUGUGCUUGCUGAACAGGACCUUGUCACAUCAGACAAAGCCACAUUACUGAUCAGUCUGUCAGCCUGCCAGGGACAUCAAUGGACAGUCUGAAUGUGGGACUGCAAAGACUGUAAAAAGCACAUGGUAGUGCAUGUCCAUAUCUGUUCUCUGGGGAAAACAAUCUUGCUCUCACAACCUUGUCAUUUUGAAACAUCUCCCAGGACCUGAGCACUAGGACCAUACUUCAGGACUACCUGGCAUGAUGACUCCUUGCUGUUCCCAGUCCACCUGGCUGUGCUACUGCUCCAGUUUCAACUGUUCUGCCUGCGGCUGUGGAACCCUGACCUGUUCACCGGAUGUGCUACCUGUCCCAGACCUGCUGUUUUCAACUCUCUAGAGGCAGCAGGAGCGGUAGAGAUACUCUCAAUGAUCGGCUAUGAAAAGCCAACUGACAUUUACUCUUGAGGUGCUGACUUGUUGCACCCUCGACAACUACUGUGAUUAUUAUUAUUUGACCAUGCUGGUCAUUUAUGAACAUUUGGACAUCUUGGCCAUGUUCUCUUAUAAUCUCCACCCCUCAUAGCCAGAAGAGGACUGGCC
RNAcentral lists this long non-coding RNA (914 nucleotides) under Salmo salar (Atlantic salmon). RNAcentral describes it as "lncRNA (ENSSSAG00000120528.1)". Lineage: Eukaryota; Metazoa; Chordata; Actinopteri; Salmoniformes; Salmonidae. The record is from RNAcentral.